This 408-nucleotide ribosomal RNA is filed under the name uncultured bacterium. RNAcentral's name for it is "bacterial SSU rRNA". It matches the Rfam family "Bacterial small subunit ribosomal RNA", at positions 28 to 426 of the family's 1533-position model. The record is from RNAcentral.
GAUGAACGCUAGCUACAGGCUUAACACAUGCAAGUCGAGGGGCAGCAUGAACUUAGCUUGCUAAGUUUGAUGGCGACCGGCGCACGGGUGAGUAACACGUAUCCAACCUUCCGUUUACUCAGGGAUAGCCUUUCGAAAGAAAGAUUAAUACCUGAUAGUAUGGUGAGAUUGCAUGAUAACACCAUUAAAGAUUUAUUGGUAAACGAUGGGGAUGCGUUCCAUUAGGUAGUAGGCGGGGUAACGGCCCACCUAGCCUGCGAUGGAUAGGGGUUCUGAGAGGAAGGUCCCCCACAUUGGAACUGAGACACGGUCCAAACUCCUACGGGAGGCAGCAGUGAGGAAUAUUGGUCAAUGGGCGAGAGCCUGAACCAGCCAAGUAGCGUGAAGGAUGACGGCCCUAUGGGUUGU